AAUCAGGAUUCAGACUACAAUACAGCUGUUAAGUGCUGUGUUGUCAUUUCCCCUGCUCAAAAUAAAGUUUUUCUUACCUGUACCUGUCUGCUAUACCCUUAUAGCAGCCAAGGAUGCUUGGUCUCAUACAU
RNAcentral lists this small nucleolar RNA (131 nucleotides) under Urocitellus parryii (Arctic ground squirrel). Its description in RNAcentral is "Small nucleolar RNA SNORA63 (ENSUPAG00010021316.1)". It matches the Rfam family "Small nucleolar RNA SNORA63". Rfam says of the family: E3 belongs to the H/ACA class of snoRNAs and is involved in the processing of eukaryotic pre-rRNA and has regions of complementarity to 18S rRNA. The record is from Rfam by way of RNAcentral. Lineage: Eukaryota; Metazoa; Chordata; Mammalia; Rodentia; Sciuridae.